Molecule: ribosomal RNA, 461 nt
Filed under: uncultured bacterium
Lineage: Bacteria
Description: partial 16S ribosomal RNA
Rfam family: Bacterial small subunit ribosomal RNA
Source: RNAcentral
GACGAACGCUGCGGCGUGCUUAACACAUGCAAGUCGAGCGGAAAGGCCCUUCGGGGUACUCGAGCGGCGAACGGGUGAGUAACACGUGAGUAACCUGCCCUAGGCUUUGGGAUAACCCCGGGAAACCGGGGCUAAUACCGGAUAUGACCUGGUGCCGCAUGGUGUUGGGUGGAAAGUUUUUUCGGCCUGGGAUGGGCUCGCGGCCUAUCAGCUUGUUGGUGGGGUGAUGGCCUACCAAGGCGAUGACGGGUAGCCGGCCUGAGAGGGCGACCGGCCACACUGGGACUGAGACACGGCCCAGACUCCUACGGGAGGCAGCAGUGGGGAAUAUUGCACAAUGGGCGGAAGCCUGAUGCAGCGACGCCGUGUGAGGGAUGAAGGCCUUCGGGUUGUAAACCUCUUUCAGCAGGGACGAAGCGUGAGUGACGGUACCUGCAGAAGAAGCGCCGGCCAACUACGUG